Molecule: ribosomal RNA, 629 nt
Filed under: uncultured bacterium
Lineage: Bacteria
Description: bacterial SSU rRNA
Rfam family: Bacterial small subunit ribosomal RNA
Source: RNAcentral
GAGUUUGAUCAUGGCUCAGGAUGAACGCUAGCGGGAGGCUUAACACAUGCAAGUCGAGGGGUAUAAGUAGCAAUAUUUAGAGACCGGCGCACGGGUGAGUAACGCGUAUGCAACCUGCCCUUUACAGGGGGAUAGCCCGUAGAAAUGCGGAUUAAUACCCCAUAGUACUAUUGGAUCGCAUGGUUUGAUAGUUAAAGUUUCGGUGGUAAAGGAUGGGCAUGCGUGACAUUAGCUAGUUGGAGAGGUAACGGCUCACCAAGGCUACGAUGUCUAGGGGUUCUGAGAGGAAGAUCCCCCACACUGGUACUGAGACACGGACCAGACUCCUACGGGAGGCAGCAGUGAGGAAUAUUAGUCAAUGGGCGAGAGCCUGAACCAGCCAUCCCGCGUGCAGGAAGAAUGCCCUAUGGGUUGUAAACUGCUUUUUCGCAUGAAGAACACUCCGGACGUGUCUGGAGCUGACGGUAAUGCGUGAAUAAGCACCGGCUAACUCCGUGCCAGCAGCCGCGGUAAUACGGAGGGUGCAAGCGUUAUCCGGAUUUAUUGGGUUUAAGGGGUGCGUAGGCGGUAAUAUAAGUCAGUGGUGAAAUCCCGCAGCUCAACUGUAGAACAGCCAUUGAAACUGCAUU